Molecule: transfer RNA, 68 nt
Filed under: Marmota monax (woodchuck)
Lineage: Eukaryota; Metazoa; Chordata; Mammalia; Rodentia; Sciuridae
Description: tRNA.Ala
Source: RNAcentral
GGAUUGUGGCUCUGUGGUAGAGCGCUCGCUUAGCACGGGCCGGGACCUGGGUUCAAUUCUCAGCACCA